RNAcentral lists this ribosomal RNA (18 nucleotides) under Magnaporthiopsis incrustans. RNAcentral describes it as "partial 26S ribosomal RNA". The record is from RNAcentral. Lineage: Eukaryota; Fungi; Ascomycota; Sordariomycetes; Magnaporthales; Magnaporthaceae.
CGAGCUGACCUCGGAUCA